RNAcentral lists this ribosomal RNA (635 nucleotides) under uncultured Bdellovibrio sp. RNAcentral's name for it is "bacterial SSU rRNA". It matches the Rfam family "Bacterial small subunit ribosomal RNA", at positions 207 to 853 of the family's 1533-position model. Lineage: Bacteria; Pseudomonadati; Bdellovibrionota; Bdellovibrionia; Bdellovibrionales; Pseudobdellovibrionaceae. The record is from RNAcentral.
AAGGUUUUUCGCUGAAGGAUGAGCCUGCGUCCGAUUAGCUAGUUGGUAGGGUAAUGGCCUACCAAGGCAACUAUCGGUAGCUGGUCUGAGAGGAUGACCAGCCACACUGGAACUGAGACACGGUCCAGACUCCUACGGGAGGCAGCAGUAGGGAAUAUUGCACAAUGGAGGAAACUCUGAUGCAGCGACGCCGCGUGAGUGAUGAGGGCCUUCGGGUUGUAAAGCUCUGUUCUUGGGGACGAAAAAAAUGACGGUACCCAAGGAGAAAGGAUCGGCUAACUUCGUGCCAGCAGCCGCGGUAAGACGAGGGAUCCUAGCGUUGCUCGGAAUUAUUGGGCGUAAAGCGGUCGUAGGUGGCUUCGUAAGUCAGUAGUGAAAGCCCUGGGCUUAACCCGGGAAGUGCUAUUGAUACUGCUUAGCUUGAGUGUGGGAGAGGAUAGUAGAAUUCCUGGUGUAGUGGUGAAAAUACGUAGAUAUCAGGAGGAAUCCCGGUGGGGAAGCCGGCUAUCUGGCCUAACACUGACACUCAGACCCGAAAGCGUGGGGAUCAAACAGGAUUUAGAUAUCCUGGUAGUCCACGCCAUAAACGAUGGAUACUUGUUGUUGGAGGUAUUGACCCCUUCAGUGACGAAACU